UAUAAAUCCAAGCUGAUUAACUCGUGGAAACUCCCCAACCUUUCGUCAUCUUAAUCUUCUUACCAUGGUAUUGGCGCUAACAUAUUUCCUCUGUCUGCUACUUCUGUUGCUGCCAUUUUCCACCACAGCUCAAACUUAUACCAACAUAACACUGGGCUCAUCGCUCACCGCCCUCAACGACAACUCUUCCUGGAAAUCGCCGUCCGGCGACUUCGCAUUCGGGUUCCGGCAGAUCAGAACAGGGAAUUUCUUACUUGCCCUAUGGUUCGACAAAAUUCCUGAAAAAACCAUAACUUGGUCAGCCAAUGGCGAAACCUUAGUUCAAAAAGGGUCCAAAAUUCAACUCACACAAAAUGGGUAUCUCGUGCUCACCGACCCACAAGGCCAAAAGAUCUGGGCGGCAAAUCCCACCGCCGCCGGAGUCGCCUACGCCGCCGUGCUCGACGUUGGAAACCUCGUCCUUGUGAGCAAUGAUUCGGUCAUUUUGUGGCAGAGCUUCGAUCAUCCAACUGACACAAUUCUCCCCACCCAGGUAUUAAAUCUCGGGACCAAACUGGUGGCUCGGUUCUCCGAAAAUAAUUUCUCGAGCGGAAGAUUUGAGCUUCCGUUUCAAAACGACGGAAAUCUAGUGCUCUACACCAGAGCAUUUCCGUUGGACUCUGUAUACGGCGCGUACUGGGCGACGGGAACUGAUGGCUCCGGCUACCAGACAAUAUUCCGGCCGGAAGGGAGCAUCGAAGUUAUAGGAAAAACAGGCAAAGUGCUCAGCACGGUUUCAUCAAGCGCAGCUUCAACUGAGGAUUUCUACCAGAGAGCAAUUAUUGAAAAUGAUGGGGUUUUCCGGCAGUACAUAUACCCCAUCGCCGGCGGCGGCUCGAGAACCGUGAACUGGUCGCAGGCGUGGUCUUCUCUGACGGCGAUUCCUUCGGAUAUCUGCAUGAGCAUCACGCUGAGCACAGGGAGCGGAGCUUGUGGGUUCAACAGCUUGUGCAGGCUAAUUGGGCAGAGACCCAAGUGUGAGUGCCCACCCGGAUAUACCUUCUCGGAUCCAAACGACAAACUGGAUGGGUGCAGACCGACCUUCGUUCCGCAGAACUGCAAUGGAAAACCGGAAAGAAGCAAUCUCUUUGAUAUUGUGGAGAUGCCCGACACCGAUUGGCCUCUUUCCGACUACGAACUCUUGCAGCCGGUGACGGAGGAGUGGUGCAGGGGAGCUUGCUUGGACGAUUGUCAGUGCGCAGUUGCCAUUUUCAGAAACGGGAAUUGUUGGAAGAAGAAGGUGCCUCUGUCUAACGGGAGGAUUAAUCCCAGUGUCGGAGGAAAAGCUUUGAUCAAAGUGGGAAAAAAUGUUUCUGUAUCGGAAUCGACGAUUGUGGGCCUUUGGAAGGAGAAGAAGAAGGAUUAAUCUCAAAAGUGUCAUGAAUGCUGAAAGCUCCUUGCUUCUCAAAUUUUCACCUGCCAUUCUCUGCAAUACCAAUUACACAUUUUCUUCCUCUCUGAUUCAGGAAGAACCAAAUGCAAACAUCAAGGUUUUCUGCUUAAAUUUUCAGGAGAUCUCUUCAACCAAACGACUAAUAAGAUGUGGCAUUUUUGUAGCGACAUGAUUGUGCAGAUGAUAUCUAUCAGGACAUUGAGGAAGGAGCUGAAGAGACUGUUGAAUAUUUAUGUUGCCAAUGGAGAGAGGGGAUAGUUGAAAAUUAUAGUAUUUGUCCAUGCCUUAGCUGCUUGGUCAUAAUAUAUUCCUAGAAUUGCAGCUACUGUGAGUUUUCUGUUCUAGCACAAGAUGUUUCUCGUCUCUUUUUUCUCUUCAAUGUGUUUUGAUGAAGUCAGGGCAGAAAAGAAUGACUAGAAAUUCGUGGUUGGUGGGAUAGUUAAACUCGACUCAACUUGAAAAUUUUAAGUUCAAAACUUUACUUGAACCGUAUCGAUCUUAUAAUGGUCAAACCUGAGCUACUUUAGUUUUCU
Malania oleifera is the source of this 1965-nucleotide RNA transcript. It is a transcript of the gene named G-type lectin S-receptor-like serine/threonine-protein kinase LECRK3, with no coding region annotated. The record is from RefSeq and is a predicted model, not a curated record. The transcript has 4 exons. NCBI's taxonomy places the organism in Eukaryota, Viridiplantae, Streptophyta, Magnoliopsida, Santalales, Ximeniaceae.